UACAGAGGUCCCAAGCGUUGUCCGGAUUUAUUGGGCGUAAAGAGCUCGUAGGCGGCUUGUCGCGUCGUCUGUGAAAACCCGCGGCUCAACGGCGGGCUUGCAGUCGAUACGGGCAGGCUGGAGUUCGGUAGGGGAGACUGGAAUUCCUGGUGUAGCGGUGAAAUGCGCAGAUAUCAGGAGGAACACCUGCGGCGAAGGCGGGUUGCUGGGCUGACACUGACGCUGAUGCGCGAAAGCCAGGGGAGCGAACGGG
This 253-nucleotide ribosomal RNA is filed under the name uncultured bacterium. Its description in RNAcentral is "partial 16S ribosomal RNA". It matches the Rfam family "Bacterial small subunit ribosomal RNA", at positions 524 to 776 of the family's 1533-position model. The record is from RNAcentral.